CAGUCUCAAAGCUGAGUGCAACCACAAGAUUGAAAGACAAUGCACUGUGGUCCUAUAAAUAGAAAUGAGAAUUUCUCCGUUAAGUGUAAAGCUUUGCAGACUGUAUGUGUAGCCCAUAGUGUUAGUCCUGCAUCAUUAAUUAGAGAGAGAGAGAGAGAGAGAGAGAGAGAGAGAGAGAACAUGCACAAAUGUUAGUUCAAGCUGCCCGUGGAAAACGGAAAUGUUCAGUGUUCAGAGUGGCUUGCAUAUUUCACUCUGACAUCUCACUAUCAUGUUUUUCAAUAUGAUAGUGGUUAGGCAAUGCAGAUAAUUUUUUUCUUUUUUCUCUUGCUUUCUUCAUUUUUCUUUUAUUUUGUUUUCUAUUUAUGCUUUCUUUCCAACCUUUAUCCCUCCUUUGUUUCUCUUGUGUCUUUCUUUCUUUCUUCUUUUUUUUUUUUUGGUAGGGAUUUGUAGUGAAGAAAGAUUGGAUUAGUUUUUCUCAGAACAAAGAGAAACGCUUAAAUUGAUCAGUAGCAUCCAUGUUGGAGUGGUUCAUACAUGAAUUAUUUGGAUAUCUCUGGAGAAAACAGAAAGAAGUUGAAAUGGCACGAAUGAAUCAAAGCAGCCGGAUUCCCAAUGGCUUCCUAAAGAGACCCUGUUGCUCUGAUUAAAGAAUUUUAAUGGCACUGGAGAAAACAGUUUUAGGAACAAGUGCUUGUUCAACACAGUUUCAGUACUUGGUAAGUCCCCUGGGUAUGAUGGGGGAGGGAGUUGUCAUUUCCUGCCAAAAGAAAGCAGCAGGUGGUGGUUUAAAAAAAAAUAAAAAUAGCACCACAUUACCACAAAGAAGUAUGCUCUUCCAUUCUGGUGUGUGUGUGUGUGUGUGUGUGUGGUAGGAGGGUAAUAUUUUUUAAACUUGAGUUGAUUUUAUUUGCAUUUCCUUUAAUUGUAAUACAAUUCAGCUGUUUAAAUGUAUACUGAAAGUUGAGAUUUUUUAAAAAGGCACUAAGUUUGUUUUGAGUUCUGUACUCUGCCUCAGGGCUUCCCUUGUGGCUCCAUGGUAAAGAUCUGCCUGCUAAUGCAGGAGAUACGCUUUCAAUCCCUGGAUCAGGAAGAUCCCCUGGAAAAGGGAAUGGCAAUCCAACUCCAAUACUCUUGCCUGGAAAAUCCCAUGGACAGAGGAGCCUGGCGGGCUACAAUCCAUAGGGUAGUAAAAGAGUCAGAUGUGACUUAGUGACUACAUAACAACAACAAUUCUGCCUUAGUUCAGAGGUUGCAGGUAAAUAUGGUAACAUUGUAGCUGAAUUAUUUUUUAAAUGAUAGGUGAGCAUGGAAGAUUAGCCGGGUCACUGUUGCCAUGAAGGAGGGAUUUUCUUUUUGAUUGUUUUUGAAAUUUCUUCAAUUUGAUCUCCAAACACUUAUAUGAAUAUAUUUGAUUGUUUUGAGGAAACUGUGGAUGAAAUCAUAAUCAGUUCAAUGGUAUGGCAUCCAGAACAAUUAUUUUAUCCACUGAGAGAUGACUAAGAAGGAAGAACAAAUUUUCCUGCUAUUAAAAAAUUCAGAUGUGAUCCUCAGUAAAUAAAAAAAGGAAAUUCUUUAAAAAGAGGUUUGGU
Molecule: long non-coding RNA, 1592 nt
Organism: Bos indicus x Bos taurus (hybrid cattle)
Lineage: Eukaryota; Metazoa; Chordata; Mammalia; Artiodactyla; Bovidae
Source: Ensembl